GGAUGUGGGAUUGCACAGACAACCAGGAUGUUGGCUUAGAAGCAGCCACUCAUUCAAAGAGUGCGUAAUAGCUCACUGGUCGAGUGAUCCUGCGCCGAAGAUUUCCGGGGCUAAAACUUACUACCGAAGCUACGGCAGCAGUAAUGAUGGGUAGGGGAGCUUCCCAUACGGGUUGAAGCAUGACCGUAAGGACAUGUGGACAGUAUGGGAGUGAGACUGUUCGGAUGAGUAGCGAGAAGUGGGUGAGAAUCCCACAUGCCGUAAACCCACGGUUUCCAGGGGAAGGUUCGUCCGCCC
RNAcentral lists this ribosomal RNA (297 nucleotides) under Clostridioides difficile. RNAcentral's name for it is "partial 23S ribosomal RNA". It matches the Rfam family "Bacterial large subunit ribosomal RNA", at positions 1071 to 1375 of the family's 2925-position model. The record is from RNAcentral. Lineage: Bacteria; Bacillati; Bacillota; Clostridia; Peptostreptococcales; Peptostreptococcaceae.